Molecule: unclassified non-coding RNA, 87 nt
Filed under: Pseudomonas sp. bs2935
Lineage: Bacteria; Pseudomonadati; Pseudomonadota; Gammaproteobacteria; Pseudomonadales; Pseudomonadaceae
Source: RNAcentral
GGUGGGAGCUGGCUUGCCUGCGAUGCAAGCACCUCGGUUCAUCAGGUAAACCGAGUCGAUCCAUUCGCAGGCCAGCCAGCUCCCACG